Molecule: long non-coding RNA, 948 nt
Organism: Rosa rugosa (rugosa rose)
Lineage: Eukaryota; Viridiplantae; Streptophyta; Magnoliopsida; Rosales; Rosaceae
Exons: 6
Source: RefSeq, a predicted model, not a curated record
CAAAAACCUCUACCAGCGCCAAAUCUUCCCUGUUCAUCAAAAGUUUCCCUCUACAAUUUUUGAGUAUCCCCAGAUCUUCUCUCUGCAACACUCGAGAUUUGUACCCAUAUGGCAAUAUACCAAAUUCACUUUCCCUCUAAUCCUAUUCACUCUAUCAAACCUAAUAUUCAUAUUUGUGGGCAGAAAAGAAAAAACUUGUGUUCCUCUCUGAUCAUUCGAACACCCAUUAUCCAUCCAUCACUGAUGUCGUCAUCUUUUUCAUAGUCCUUCUUCCGCUGUUCUUAAGUGGUUCUGCUAUUGCCAAGCCUCCGGGUUACCUCCGCUUUGAGUACGCAAAGUUCUCGCAAGAGAUGACUUGAUUCUUGAGAAUUGGUGAACACGCUUAGAAAGAUGAAAUAGUUUGUGAGAUCAAUUUUGAACUUGCGUCUUGGUUCCUUUUUUGGAAUUUGAUUGAGGUGUAAAAUCAGAUUGCAGAUACAUACUCAGGAAGACGCUUUCAUUUUAUGUACUGUGCAUCUCCUGCGAGACGGCCCAAAUAGUAUGUUGAAAGAGGUCGGUGGCAUUGAGAGACGCUUGAUUUAGAUUACGAGAAUCUUUCCAUAAAAUUUUCUGGAGCAAACUUUGAUUGGAUUGGAAAGUGUCCUACUCAAGCUGGAAAAGUGGAAUGUGAAUAUUAUGUAAUGAAGUUCAUGAAAGCAAUCAUUGAAGAUCCAACCAUAUUAACUAGAAGCAAGUUCAACAACCAAAGUUACAAUCAAGAAGAGAUAGAUGAUGUUCGAGUCGAGUGGGCUGACCUUGUUGAAACAUUACUCCAAGAUGAUGUAGAAUAGUUUGGUUAGUAUAUUUUGCAAAGUAUAUAUUAAGCUGAGUUUUUGUGCAUGCCCAUGUAAAGUUUUAGAUCAACUAGGUUUUUGAAAGCACUAGAAGUACAUGUAAUAUGAUCUCACC